UGAUCUUCUACGAAAACAUUCUAAAAAGGUGCAAGUUACUUCAGAGGAAUGGUUCUAGGAAGGGAUUAGAUACUCUUUCGUUCAGUGGCUCAGAGCAUCUGUUUGUUUUCUGGUCUGCUUUGGGCCUGCUUAUGUAGUUUAGGUUAAUCAGAAUGAGAAUAAUAUAUAUUUACUAGACCUUGGGACAGAAACUGAACCUUAAUUUGCUGUUUUCAGUAAGUGGCUUCAGCAUGGUGCCACCCCAGAGGAACCUUCAAUUUGACAACCAGGUUGUGAGAAGAGGACUGUGAUUGUGUCUCUGUGCUCUCUGACAAGCAUUGAGGAAAGCAAAAUGAUUAAAUAUGGGGAAUUGAAGAUUUAUGCCAAUGCUGGGAAUUUGCUGCUAUUAUAUCCACUGCUGAAAUAUCAUUUGAGGCUCUCAGAAAAGGAUUGAGUAUUGUGUCACACUCUUUUGUCUCUCAAGAUGAAGGUCUGGGCUCUUGCAGAGAAAGUUUUUCUCCUCAAUGAG
This 508-nucleotide long non-coding RNA is filed under the name Numida meleagris (helmeted guineafowl). RNAcentral's name for it is "lncRNA (ENSNMEG00000007813.1)". Lineage: Eukaryota; Metazoa; Chordata; Aves; Galliformes; Numididae. The record is from RNAcentral.